RNA transcript from Mus musculus (house mouse), 1260 nucleotides. It is a transcript of the gene named ADP-ribosyltransferase 2a, transcript variant 1, non-coding, with no coding region annotated. Lineage: Eukaryota; Metazoa; Chordata; Mammalia; Rodentia; Muridae. The transcript has 4 exons. The record is from RefSeq and is marked validated.
AACACUUGCUUUUAGAAGAGGACAGAGACCCAGCUGCCAAACAUCUUCUCAGCUGUUUUUUAACUUGACGAUGACAUCAAAAAAUUUCAAGUUCUUCCUAACUUGGUGGCUAACCCAGCAGGUGACUGGCCUGACAGGGUCUUUCACGCUAGACAUGGCUCCAAAUGCAUUUGAUGAUCAGUAUGAGAGCUGUGUCGAAGACAUGGAGAAAAAGGCACCCCAGCUGUUACAAGAAGACUUCAACAUGAAUGAGGAAUUAAAACUUGAGUGGGAAAAAGCAGAGAUAAAAUGGAAGGAGAUCAAAAAUUGUAUGAGUUAUCCGGCAGGUUUCCAUGAUUUCCAUGGGACAGCUUUAGUUGCCUACACUGGGAACAUCCACAGAAGCCUUAAUGAGGCUACUAGAGAGUUCAAAAUAAAUCCUGGUAACUUCCACUACAAGGCCUUCCAUUACUACUUAACAAGAGCUCUUCAGCUUUUGAGUGACCAGGGUUGUCGUUCAGUUUACCGAGGUACUAAUGUCAGGUUUCGUUACACUGGGAAGGGCUCUGUGUGAUUUGGGCAUUUUGCAUCCUCUUCUUUAAACCGGAGUGUAGCUACUUCUAGUCCAUUUUUCAAUGGACAGGGGACAUUAUUUAUCAUCAAAACCUGCUUGGGGGCUCACAUCAAACAUUGUUCCUACUAUACUCAUGAAGAGGAGGUGUUAAUUCCAGGCUAUGAAGUAUUUCACAAAGUCAAAACACAAAGUGUCGAACGGUAUAUCCAAAUUUCUCUGGACUCCCCAAAAAGGAAGAAGAGCAACUUUAAUUGCUUCUAUAGCGGUUCUACUCAAGCAGCCAACGUUAGCAGCUUAGGAUCCAGAGAGAGCUGUGUAUCCCUGUUCCUUGUGGUUCUCCUCGGUCUUCUGGUCCAGCAGCUUACUCUUGCUGAGCUGUAGCCCUCUCCUGUGUGCAGUUUGUGGGUGUGAGUGUUAAAGGGAGGCCAAGGGGGCAAGCCCUGAUUGGUUGUUUAAGAACUGUGGAAGGGGGAAGGGUGGGGUUCUUUGAGGGGAGGUCUGCUUUAGCAUUCAUGACAUCUAUAAGCAUCCAAGGUAUCUUCUGGGUCUGUCUUGAAACUUUGCACUUUGACUUCAAAUUACGACUCUUUCCACACUUUGCUAUGAUCAAAAAGCAAUGUUUAUCUGCCUCGUCAGCAGUAAGAGAUUUAAAGUAUGCAAUUCGUGGUGAAUUUUAUAAUCUAGGGAAAUAAAAAUUUAUAAUCACA